This 22-nucleotide small nuclear RNA is filed under the name Arabidopsis thaliana (thale cress). RNAcentral's name for it is "snRNA_17116". The record is from RNAcentral. Lineage: Eukaryota; Viridiplantae; Streptophyta; Magnoliopsida; Brassicales; Brassicaceae.
ACCAAUCAGAUCCAUUAUUUGA